CAGUAGCCGCGGUAAUACGUAGGGUGCGAGCGUUAAUCGGAAUUACUGGGCGUAAAGCGUGCGCAGGCGGUUGUUUAAGACAGGUGUGAAAUCCCCGGGCUUAACCUGGGAACUGCGCUUGUGACUGCACAGCUAGAGUAUGGCAGAGGGGGGUGGAAUUCCACGUGUAGCAGUGAAAUGCGUAGAGAUGUGGAGGAACACCGAUGGCGAAGGCAGCCCCCUGGGCUAAUACUGACGCUCAUGCACGAAAGCGUGGGGAGCAAACAGGAUUAGAUACCCGGGUAGUCCCUGUCUCUUAUAC
Molecule: ribosomal RNA, 301 nt
Filed under: uncultured bacterium
Lineage: Bacteria
Description: partial 16S ribosomal RNA
Rfam family: Bacterial small subunit ribosomal RNA
Source: RNAcentral